AAUUGCACUGCAACACUUCAACACUUUCUCGUACAAAAUGAAGCUGAUAUCGCUGUUGAUAGCUCUGGUUGUGGCCCUGUCUGGCCUCCUGGGUUCAGCUCGUGCCAUGCCUGACCCCUACCCUGUGGCUGACCCCGUGGCUGACCCCGACCCCGUAGCUGACCCCUUGUUCUUCAAACGCAAGCACUACUACCCCCGGCGUCGCUACUAUCCCCGCUACCACCAUUACCACCACUGGUGAAGAACAGGAAACGUUUAUUCCGAUAAUGAACAGCAAUUGUCUUUGUCGCAAGGGACUCGAGUGGUGAUGAAUUCCGUGUAUUGUUAAUCUAACCGUACAAUAAAAUCCUGAUAAAAAAUCAA
This 363-nucleotide long non-coding RNA is filed under the name Penaeus japonicus. RNAcentral describes it as "uncharacterized LOC122247946". The record is from RNAcentral. Lineage: Eukaryota; Metazoa; Arthropoda; Malacostraca; Decapoda; Penaeidae.